UCCACCUUUUUAAUACAGUCCUGAGAGGCUGUAAAGGGGGAAUGAGGAUGGCGGGGUUUCCUGCUGUCGUUAUCCAUGCCCUCUUUGCGCCUGCGCAAUGAGGGUUUUUUAU
The sequence is a regulatory RNA element, 112 nucleotides long. It matches the Rfam family "PyrR binding site". Rfam says of the family: This family represents the PyrR binding site and terminator structure. This RNA structure is found upstream of a variety of genes involved in pyrimidine biosynthesis and transport. The record is from Rfam.